Molecule: ribosomal RNA, 468 nt
Filed under: uncultured bacterium
Lineage: Bacteria
Description: partial 16S ribosomal RNA
Rfam family: Bacterial small subunit ribosomal RNA
Source: RNAcentral
GACGAACGCUGGCGGCGUGCUUAACACAUGCGAGUCGAACGGAAAGGCCCUGCUUUUGUGGGGUGCUCGAGUGGCGAACGGGUGAGUAACACGUGAGUAACCUGCCCUUGACUUUGGGAUAACUUCAGGAAACUGGGGCUAAUACCGGAUAGGAGCUCCUGCUGCAUGGUGGGGGUUGGAAAGUUUCGGCGGUUGGGGAUGGACUCGCGGCUUAUCAGCUUGUUGGUGGGGUAGUGGCUUACCAAGGCUUUGACGGGUAGCCGGCCUGAGAGGGUGACCGGCCACAAUGGGACUGAGAGACGGCCCAGACUCCUACGGGAGGCAGCAGGGGGGAAUAUUGCACAAUGGGCGGAAGCCUGAUGCAGCAACGCCGCGUGCGGGAUGACGGCCUUCGGGUUGUAAACCGCUUUCGCCUGUGACGAAGCGUGAGUGACGGUAAUGGGUAAAGAAGCACCGGCUAACUACGUG